CCCUUAGAUGUUCUGGGCCGCACGCGCGCUACACUGACGAAUGCAACGAGCUUAUAACCUUGGCCGAAAGGUCUGGGUAAUCUCCAAAUUUCGUCGUGAUGGGGAUAGAUUAUUGCAAUUAUUAAUCUUCAACGAGGAAUGCCUAGUAAGCGCAAGUCAUCAGCUUGCGUGGAUUACGUCCCUGCCCUUUGUACACACCGCCCGUCGCUCCUACCGAUUGAAUGGUCCGGUGAAGCGUUCGGACCGUGGCCUUUGGACGGUUCGCCGUCUGUUGGCUGCGGGAAGUUCGUUAAACCUUAUCAUUUAGAGGAAGGAGAAGUCGUAACA
RNAcentral lists this ribosomal RNA (327 nucleotides) under uncultured eukaryote. Its description in RNAcentral is "partial 18S ribosomal RNA". It matches the Rfam family "Eukaryotic small subunit ribosomal RNA", at positions 1470 to 1796 of the family's 1831-position model. The record is from RNAcentral.